UACGGAAGGUCCGGGCGUUAUCCGGAUUUAUUGGGUUUAAAGGGAGCGCAGGCCGUAGAUUAAGCGUGACGUGAAAUGCCGCGGCUCAACCGUGGAAGUGCGUCGCGAACUGGUUUACUUGAGUGGGUACGACGCUGGCGGAAUUUGUGGUGUAGCGGUGAAAUGCUUAGAUAUCACGAAGAACCCCGAUUGCGAAGGCAGCUGGCGAGUCCCUUACUGACGCUAAUGCUCGAAGGUGCGGGUAU
Molecule: ribosomal RNA, 245 nt
Filed under: uncultured Prevotella sp.
Lineage: Bacteria; Pseudomonadati; Bacteroidota; Bacteroidia; Bacteroidales; Prevotellaceae
Description: partial 16S ribosomal RNA
Rfam family: Bacterial small subunit ribosomal RNA
Source: RNAcentral